GACGUAGGGCGCAAGCGUUGUCCGGAUUUAUUGGGCGUAAAGAGCUCGUAGGCGGCUUGCCACGUCUGCCGUGAAAACCUGCAGCUUAACUGUGGGCUUGCGGUCGAUACGGGCAUCACUGGAGUUCGGCAGGGGAGACUGGAAUUCCUGGUGUAGCGGUGAAAUGCGCAGAUAUCAGGAGGAACACCGGUGGCGAAGGCGGGUCUCUGGGCCGGUACUGACGCUGAGGAGCGAAAGCGUGGGGAGCGAACAGG
This 254-nucleotide ribosomal RNA is filed under the name uncultured bacterium. RNAcentral describes it as "partial 16S ribosomal RNA". It matches the Rfam family "Bacterial small subunit ribosomal RNA", at positions 524 to 776 of the family's 1533-position model. The record is from RNAcentral.